This 448-nucleotide ribosomal RNA is filed under the name uncultured bacterium. RNAcentral describes it as "bacterial SSU rRNA". It matches the Rfam family "Bacterial small subunit ribosomal RNA", at positions 329 to 793 of the family's 1533-position model. The record is from RNAcentral.
AUCCAGACUCCUACGGGAGGCAGCAGUGGGGAAUAUUGCACAAUGGGGGAAACCCUGAUGCAGCGACGCCGCGUGAGCGAUGAAGUAUUUCGGUAUGUAAAGCCCUAUCAGCAGGGAAGAAAAUGACGGUACCUGACUAAGAAGCCCCGGCUAACUACGUGCCAGCAGCCGCGGUAAUACGUAGGGGGCAAGCGUUAUCCGGAUUUACUGGGUGUAAAGGGAGCGUAGACGGCAAUGCAAGCCAGAUGUGAAAGCCCGGGGCUCAACCCCGGGACUGCUCUUGGAACUGCGUGGCUGGAGUGCAGGAGGGGCAGGCGGAAUUCCUGGUGUAGCGGUGAAAUGCGUAGAUAUCAGGAGGAACACCGGUGGCGAAGGCGGCCUGCUGGACUGCAACUGACGUUGAGGCCCGAAAGCGUGGGGAGCAAACAGGAUUAGAUACCCCCGUAUG